This 43-nucleotide non-coding RNA is filed under the name Schistosoma mansoni. Lineage: Eukaryota; Metazoa; Platyhelminthes; Trematoda; Strigeidida; Schistosomatidae. The record is from RNAcentral.
CUGACUCUGAGGAGUCCCACAAUAGGACGAAACAGCCGUCCAG